GAAGUAAACUUGAUUAAAAUACACCAAUUGUGUGCCUAACCGUGAUCGUCUCUUUUCGAGGGAGUUUAGAAAGAGAACAUGAUGGAGUUAUGUUUGACUUGUAAGUAGGUGUUCAGGAUCACUUCUUGAUCAAUACUAGUACUCGUCCGACAUGCAUAUAAUCUCAUCUUAUUCUUGUACUCGUAAGUUAGCCACUCAAAUAUAUGCAUAGUGCUGCUCCAACCUGACCACUUUACCAUACCUUAACCACCAACUUAGAUAGUCUCGACA
Molecule: long non-coding RNA, 270 nt
Filed under: Hordeum vulgare
Lineage: Eukaryota; Viridiplantae; Streptophyta; Magnoliopsida; Poales; Poaceae
Description: long non-coding RNA (HVUL_LNC019760)
Source: RNAcentral